GCCCUGCUAGCUCAGUGGUAGAGCGUCGCACUCGUAAGCGUAUUGCUCACAUGCGAAGGUCAGUCGUUCAAGUCGGCUGUGGGGCA
Non-coding RNA from Schizophyllum amplum, 86 nucleotides. The record is from the annotation of a GenBank genome assembly. Lineage: Eukaryota; Fungi; Basidiomycota; Agaricomycetes; Agaricales; Schizophyllaceae.